RNAcentral lists this ribosomal RNA (459 nucleotides) under uncultured bacterium. RNAcentral's name for it is "partial 16S ribosomal RNA". It matches the Rfam family "Bacterial small subunit ribosomal RNA", at positions 338 to 795 of the family's 1533-position model. The record is from RNAcentral.
CCUACGGGUGGCUGCAGUGAGGAAUAUUGGUCAAUGGACGCAAGUCUGAACCAGCCAUGCCGCGUGCAGGAUGACGGCUCUAUGAGUUGUAAACUGCUUUUGUACGAGGGUAAACCCCGAUACGUGUAUCGUGUUGCAAGUAUCGUACGAAUAAGGAUCGGCUACUCCGGACCAGCAGCCGCGGUAAUACGGAGGAUCCGGGCGUUUUCCGGAUUUAUUGGGUUUAACGGGUGCGUCAGCGGUUUGAUAAGUUAGAGGUGAAAUGUCGGGGGUCAACCCCGAAACUGCCUCUAAUACUGUUGGACUAGAGAAUAGUUGCGGUAGGCGGAAUGCAUGGUGUAGCGGUGAAAUGCUUAGAGAUCAUACAGAACACCGAUUGCGAAGGCAGCUUACCAAACUAUAUCUGACGUUGAGGCACGAAAGCGUGGGUAGCAAACAGGAUUAGAUACCCGGGUAGUC